Molecule: ribosomal RNA, 467 nt
Filed under: uncultured bacterium
Lineage: Bacteria
Description: partial 16S ribosomal RNA
Rfam family: Bacterial small subunit ribosomal RNA
Source: RNAcentral
GACGAACGCUGGCGGCGUGCUUAACACAUGCAAGUCGAACGGAAAGGCCUCUUUCGGGGGGUACUCGAGUGGCGAACGGGUGAGUAACACGUGAGUAACCUGCCCUUGACUUUGGGAUAACUUCAGGAAACUGGGGCUAAUACCGGAUAGGAGCUCCUGCUGCAUGGUGGGGGUUGGAAAGUUUCGGCGGUUGGGGAUGGACUCGCGGCUUAUCAGCUUGUUGGUGGGGUAGUGGCUUACCAAGGCUUUGACGGGUAGCCGGCCUGAGAGGGUGACCGGCCACAUUGGGACUGAGAUACGGCCCAGACUCCGACGGGAGGCAGCAGUGGGGAAUAUUGCACAAUGGGUGGAAGCCUGAUGCAGCAACGCCGUGUGCGGGAUGACGGCCUUCGGGUUGGAAACCGCUUUCGCUCAUGACGAAGCUUUGUGUGACGGUAGUGGGUAAAGAAGCACCGGCUAACUACGUG